UGCUGGUGGACCCAGAGGUGGGCGAGGAUGCACCCACUCUUCUUGUGGAGAGCCUGGAGGAGCUGCCUGCUACACCCCUGGGAGGAGAUGAAGACGAUGAGGAGGAUGAAGAUGAUGUGGCGGAGGGAGACGUGAAUGUGUUGGUAGAGCAACCUGAACCCAAAGAGGACACCUCUCUGGGCCAUGAAGUUUGGAAGAUCGGAGCAAUUGCUGCAGCUUUCUUCCUUGUUCUUCAAACCAUCGUAACGAUCGUGUACAUCCUAAAAUGCAGAAAAAGACCAAGCAGUUCUAUUGCUCCUGAGAGAGCAUGUGAGG
Clupea harengus (Atlantic herring) is the source of this 315-nucleotide long non-coding RNA. NCBI's taxonomy places the organism in Eukaryota, Metazoa, Chordata, Actinopteri, Clupeiformes, Clupeidae. The record is from Ensembl.